GAUCCUGGCUCAGAUUGAACGCUGGCGGAAUGCUUUACACAUGCAAGUCGAGCGGCAGCGCGGGGCAACCUGGCGGCGAGCGGCGAACGGGUGAGUAACACAUCGGAACGUACCCUGUUGUGGGGGAUAGCCCGGCGAAAGCCGGAUUAAUACCGCAUAAGACCUGAGGGUGAAAGCGGGGGACCGCAAGGCCUCGCGCGACAGGAGCGGCCGAUGGCGGAUUAGCUAGUUGGUGGGGUAAAGGCUCACCAAGGCGACGAUCCGUAGCUGGUCUGAGAGGAUGAUCAGCCACACUGGAACUGAGACACGGUCCAGACUCCUACGGGAGGCAGCAGUGGGGAAUUUUGGACAAUGGGGGCAACCCUGAUCCAGCCAUUCCGCGUGAGUGAAGAAGGCCUUCGGGUUGUAAAGCUCUUUCGGCAGGAACGAAACGGUGGGCUCUAACAUAGUCUGCUAAUGACGGUACCUGAAGAAGAAGCACCGGCUAACUACGUGCCAGCAGCCGCGGUAAUACGUAGGGUGCGAGCGUUAAUCGGAAUUACUGGGCGUAAAGCGUGCGCAGGCGGUUUCGUAAGACAGAUGUGAAAUCCCCGGGCUUAACCUGGGAACUGCGUUUGUGACUGCGAGACUGGAGUGUGGCACAGGGGGGUGGAAUUCCACGUGUAGCA
This 668-nucleotide ribosomal RNA is filed under the name uncultured beta proteobacterium. RNAcentral describes it as "bacterial SSU rRNA". It matches the Rfam family "Bacterial small subunit ribosomal RNA", at positions 15 to 680 of the family's 1533-position model. Lineage: Bacteria; Pseudomonadati; Pseudomonadota; Betaproteobacteria. The record is from RNAcentral.